GGAGAGGUCGCAUAGCUGGUUUAGUGCACCGGUCUUGAAAACCGGCGAGCCGCAAGGCUCCGAGGGUUCGAAUCCCUCCCUCUCCG
Molecule: transfer RNA, 86 nt
Filed under: Lachnospiraceae bacterium
Lineage: Bacteria; Bacillati; Bacillota; Clostridia; Lachnospirales; Lachnospiraceae
Description: tRNA-Ser
Rfam family: tRNA
About the family: Transfer RNA (tRNA) molecules are approximately 80 nucleotides in length. Their secondary structure includes four short double-helical elements and three loops (D, anti-codon, and T loops).
Source: RNAcentral